AGAACUGACCAGCGAUGCCGCGUGAGGGAUGAAGGCCUUCGGGUUGUAAACCUCUUUCAGCAGGGAAUAAGCGAAAGUAAGGUACCUGCAGAAGAAGCACCGGCUAACUAUGUGCCAGCAGCCGCGGUAAUACAUAGGGUGCAAGCGUUGUCCGGAAUUAUUGGGCGUAAAGAGCUCGUAGGUGGUCGAUCACGUCGGAUGUGAAAAUCUGAGGCUUAACCUCAGACCUGCAUUCGAUACGGGUUGACUGGAGUGUGGUACGGGAGACUGGAAUUCCUGGUGUAGCGGUGGAAUGCGCAGAUAUCAGGAGGAACACCGAUGGCGAAGGCAGGUCUCUGGGCCAUUACUGACACUGAGGAGCGAAAGCGUGGGGAGCGAACAGGAUUAGAUACCCUGGUAGUCCACGCCGUAAACGGUGGGCGCUAGUUGUGGGAACCUUCCACGGUUUCUGCGACGCAGCUAACGCAUUAAGCGCCCCGGCUGGGGAGUACGGUCGCAAGACUAAAACUCAAAGAAAUUGACGGGGGCCCGUACAAAGCAGCGGAGCAUGCGGCUUAAUUCGACGCAACGCGAAGAAACU
RNAcentral lists this ribosomal RNA (580 nucleotides) under uncultured bacterium. Its description in RNAcentral is "bacterial SSU rRNA". It matches the Rfam family "Bacterial small subunit ribosomal RNA", at positions 379 to 971 of the family's 1533-position model. The record is from RNAcentral.